UGCCUAUGUAAAUUUAAAAUUGUUUGUAUGCACAUUGAACGACAAAUCUAUGUGACGUAUAAAAUUUUCUGACGUCAGACACACAAAUCAAUGAAUGUGUUUGUAGAUAGAUGUUUUUGUGUUCUGUUAAAUUGUUCCUUUUAAAAUUGUUAUACGAUGAUGACUGAUGUACCCAUAUUUUGACUAUUUUAUUUAUUGUGUCUGUUUAGUUAACGCAUCAAUGUAAAUAUAACGGAAUUUGAUGAGACUGUCAUCAAAGUGAGAGGGUUAGCGCCAUAAAACCAGGUUUUAUCCACCAUUUUCUACAUUUGAAAAUGCCUGUACCAAUUCAGGAAUAUGACCGUUCUUGUCCAUUCGUUUUUGAUGCGUUUUGUUAUUUGAUUUUGCCAUGUGAUUAUGGACUUUCCGAAUUGAUUUUCCUUUAAUUUCAGUAUUUUUGUGAUUUUACUUUUAACUGUUCUUCAGAAACUUAUGUUCGUUUAUAAUUGUAUAUGAUAUGCAAGCGGGUGCAUCAUCUAUGUCCGAUUGACACAUUUCCCAUUUGUAUCACUUAUCGUGUACUGACCCUGUUUGAUCUCAAACGGGAGCAAUAAUCGACACUGUGUGAACGCCACUUAUGAAACUUAUCCCCAAUGCUUAUUACCAAAAAACUUAGAUUAAGUACAAAAUAAGAUAAUAUCCCUUUUUCAUGUUUAAUACAAGCGGAGGCAUCACCUGUGUCCCAUGGACUUUGAAGAGUUGUAAACGAGUCAUGUGUUUAGAUUGAGAUUAAACAAAUAUUCAAAUUCAAAUUGGAUGAAACCCUAAGCAAUAAGGCAAUAAUCAAUACACCUGUAGGUACAUGAGUGAGAUUCCCGCGUUAGGAACAACGCUGUUAGGAUCAAUUUGCGAUGACGUAUACAACAGUUAUGGUGUAAGCCCUAUAACCUGUCGGAGACAGUUGUCACAUAUUUAGAAGAUACUUAGGUGUAACGAAAUGACGGUUGAAGUUAUACAUUGAAACAUGUUUUGAUACUAUAAAGUUUGGUAUCCAAAUACAACCAAUCCCAUGCUUUUAUCAUCUUAUGACAGACAGACAUCUGGUUAACCGAAAUAAUUAAUGCGUUCUAAUUAAAUCAUGAUACAUGCAUUAGAUAAUCCUAAUACUAUGUCGUCUGGCAUUUUGAUAUAUAUUGCGCAUUUCUUGUGGUUUAGGAUGUUGUUUGUCGAUAUCGAGCUUGACAAUUUAUUACACACCUCUAAGCAAUAGUAAUUAAAUUUAUAUUGAUAUUAGGAUAAAUUAGUUUGAUAACCAAAUUUGAUUUUAUUAUACCAUUUAAAAUUGUGAAUUUAAUACACAUCUUACAUGUUGUCUUCUUUGAUCACUGGACAGCAUCAUAUGUAAUGUAAUGAAAUGAUGUCAAAAUAUUUUUCUCUCUGUUUAUAUGUUGAUUUGAAGCGUGAAAGUUUGUGAAAAGUAGAACACCGUCAACAUGUAUAGUUUAACAAAUAAUCCAUAUCACUAAUGACCAUACUGCAGUUAAUGUACCAGGCGAUCAUCUUCUUAAAACUAUAUAUUAAACAGAAUUUAAGCUGAGAUCCACAUAUAUAACCGAACCGUCAAUAAACUGACAUUAGGCCCUUAAUUAAUAUGCUUGUCAUAUUAUUUUGUUAACGUAGUCAAACAAACCAACAUGUUUUCCUGUGAUACUAAAUAUAUAUUUCCAAGCAAUAUUUAUGCAACCGGUUACUAGCUUUGUUUUUGCUUGAAUAGAUUAAAUUGAGAAAAGAAAGAUCUUUUUGUACUUUACUUGAAAUAUUUGACCAUAUUAUGCCAUUUUACUGAAAUCUUAUUUAUUAUUCAUGAAGUCACGGUAUCAAAAAUACUUAACGGACCACUUGACUGGUCCAUUAUACGAAACAUUGACCGGCUUAUGGUCAAUAGAUAGAAAGAAGACAUUUUGAACGAACUAUGAUAUUUCGUAUUUUUCAUAAAACGUGUUGUUUAUUGUUUUGUUAUUAUUGUCAUGUUAAAAGUCAUGAAAUUCUAAUAAAAUUUACUAUAUAACUUUUAAUUAUAUAUUCCCCAAUAUAGGCAUACUAUUGCAACACUUGUUGAUGUCGCCACUACAUGUAUCAUGUGAUUUCUACCUACACACUACAGACUGUGACGUAUUAUCUAACAGCACGUAUUGAUUGUAAAAUGACCUAUUUUUUGUCAUCAUGUUAUAUAUACGUGACGUGGUAUUCUGAAAUUGAUAAAAUCAACAUAUUAAAUAAAUGUUAUUCAUGUGUUGUUAUUGGUGUAUAAAAUACAUAAACUUUAUGAAAGAAUUUUAGUAAGCAUUUGAUAUAAGCUACUUAAAUGAAAUAAAUGUAAUGUGUGUAUCCACAGUCACAAAGGUAAGUUCUUUCAUAACAUUACUUUAAUUUAAAUGAUUUCAUUCUUAUGAUUUGACCGUCGCUGUCAUUAUAUUCAUGAUACAUCUUGGAAAAAUAACAAUUAUAUUGAAUGAAAUUAACGCAGAAUCCAUCAAAAUGUAACCCCUAGUUACCCCUUUAGACGUCACCAUAACAUCUGUUUCAUUCAUAAAUGUACUCCAUGAGCUUAUGUUCACCAAUCACGCUGAUUGAUGAAUCCUUUAAAGAAUGUAUGAAGGGGUACUGGAGGUUUUCAAUAACUAUCUUAAUUGUUAACAUAUCAAUUUAGAGUUAAUACUUUGAAACAUUAAUUCUACGUAAAAUUUGUCCUUAUAAGAUGUAAGUUAUAACGGAGACAGUUCGAAGAUCCAAAUAGAAUUUUGUCUAAUAUUUGUUCUAUAAAUUUCCCAGAAAAUAAUAAUUUAUCAACUUCAAUGUUGCUAUUACGUCAUAAAGUUAUGAUGUUAAGAAUGUAUUCAAUAACUGAAUGUCUCAACAGAUGAAUAGUUUAAGACUAAAAUAAAUUUAUUGGUAAAGAAGGCUUUCAUAAAUCAUAGGAAGAAUUGAAUGAAAUGAAAUAAAACCGUUUAAAUAUUAAAACUAGAAAAGUUUAAGUGAUGAAUGUGUCAUUCAACCCAAUUGCUUUUGCGGCUUCUGUUGGAUGGCACUAUUUUGUGUGUUCGCACAUUAACAAAUGUUUCAAUAAGGUUUUAGUAACUCUAAGUAAUUGUUUGCCACAGUAUUGCCAGUUUAUUGUCGAUUUCAACGCUCUCUUGUCUUUCUAAUGUUUUGUAUUGUAUCAAUACUCAAUACUCAGCAAAGAUACAACUUUAAUAUUUGGUAUACCAGACGCGCCCACGUCGACAUAAGACUCAUCAGUGACAUGGCAACCUUAACUGCAUAUAAACAUUCAUUCUUAAGAGGUCGAUGUCGUCCGCAUCUAGACUGCAUCUUCAAGUGUUCAACUAUUACAAUCUAUGUAUUUGAGCCAAAGUAGCAGUGUGUUCUAUUGUCUCACGUCCAGGAACUUACAUAUCCAACAUAAUCGUUUAUAAUUCAUUACCCAUGUUCAGGUCUAAUAUGUAGUUUGUAUUUAUAAAUGUAUCAAAUAUGAAUGCGAUGUAUAGUUCUAAUACUUGGUAAAUAUAUAAUUUAAUUGCAAGUACUGUACCACCCAUGCAUUAAUUGCUUAAGUGUUUAAGGUCAUGUGUUUAGUAAAAACCUUCCGAUUCAAAUAAGAAUAUGUAUAAUUUUCAAUAAGUACUCAGAAAUCUAGAAAAUAGUAAUGGCGGAUACAGCAAAUCUUGAAGUGUGGUUCUUGGAAUGAUACGUGGGUGAGGUUAAUAUCAAUGAUCGUAUCAUAAUUGCAAAGCGAAGUUAACUUUAACUUCAUUUCUCCAAAUUCAUAAACGCAUGCUUGUUUCUGUUGCAUUUUGGUGGGUUUUUUUUUUGUUCCGUUGAUUUCCCCUUGUAGUUGAUGUGUUUCCCUCAGUUUUAGUCUGUUAUCCGGACUUGUUUUCUCGCAAUCUAUUUAUGACGUUUGAACAGCGGUAUGCUACUGUUGUCUUUAUUUAUUGACCUCAAUGGUGUAAAGUUCUGGUGGGUGGUGUAAAUGUCUGAUCGAAAUUUAUUUUUUAGAUUGCUUAAUUAUACAGUAAUCUCUAAAGUGUAGUGAAAAGUACCACAACUAUGUUGUCGUCGUUGUAUGUCCAUGUUUAGUGGCGGAUUUACAACAUAUUUGCUCAGUUAUUCACGGAAACGUGUUCUCUUCCCUUUCUUUUAUACAUUUCAUUUGUUUUCCAGUUGUUAAUGGUUUUUGGUAACUGCUUGAAAAAAACGUAUUUUCAUUCGUAUAUUCUCAAUCAUGUUUGGAUAAUUGGAUGUUAACAAAUAUAAUGAUAGCAGAGUUAGGAUGAACUGUUCAAAAUUAAAAUGAAUAAUUCCUAUGACUUCCGUAUCACAUCUAUGGAUUAUCUUUUCAAAGCAAAAAACGUUUUCAGAAUCUUCCAAUUUACAUAUUGAUAUGUCGUUUAUAAUUAAUUUUGCGACACAACUAUAAUUGCACUCCACAAACUAACUCAUUGGCAUCAUUUUUUUAAAUACCAGGUUAGUACCACGAGGCAACAUAAGUUUAAUUUAGAAGAUAAAAAUGAAUGAAAAACUAAGAGAAUUGAACCCCAAAACAGAGCGAAUGCGUCGAUAAAUUCCCAUCGUAUGAUGUCAUGCAUACAUCAAAAUGAAUUGAGACGACGAUAAAAUGUAUCGGUCAACUAAUUCGUGUCAAUGAACGUAACAUUAUAUAUAGGUUUCAUGCAUACGUCUUCCUAAUCUCGUUGAUGGUAGCAUUAUGAGCGCAUUCCUAUUACUGAAUUUGUAUAAUGUUGAAUUGAAUGUGAACGUUAUCAAUUGAGAUAUUUGAACGCCAUACGAUAAGGUAGAAGGAGUGUUACUAGUAAGGGAUGGAAAGUUGACAAUGGGAAAACUUAAAUCUUCCAUAUUUGUCCCAAAUCGAGAUUUGAAUCCCCUAUCCGUUUGGAUUAAUGGAAAAGUUCGAAUUCUGAAGCAAACGUUUAAUUUUGAUAGUAUAUUUAACUGUAAUCUUGAUAGGAGAUGGAAGCAGUCGCUGAAAUGUAUGUUUAGUUGGUUGCUUCGAAUGGGUAAGAAUGUUUCUUCAAUGUAUACACUUAAAGUAUAGUACAAUCCUGUUAUAAUUUUGAUUGCCAUUUAUUUAAGGCCCCUUUCUUGUGAUAUUAAUCGCAUUAUUGAAGAACAAUAUAAGAUUUCGGUCAUCAAUAAUUGUGAAAAGGGUUUGCACAUGUCUGGAAAUAAAAGAUAAACACGAAAUACGGGUAAUUAUUGCAGCUAUACAUAGAUGCAAGCUUAAUUGAUCAGUAUUAGAAAAUAUGUUUACCGUGAUUCUAAUGGUCUUGGAAGAUUUGUUGACGAAAUUCACGUUGCUGUAAAAUGUGGGAUUAUAUUCAGUGUUGACUGCUAUUUAUAUGCGAUGUUGUCUUAGUGAUUAAUGGUGUCGUAGUCCUUGUAAUUCGAGGUUGUCUUGUUUUGAACAUUGAUGAACUACUUUUGCAUUAUUUUAUCUUAUAUGUUUGUGAUACUAUUCAAAACCGAAAACCUUAAGGAUAACAUAUAACGUCACUUUCGCCGAUCGCUGGCCAAUUUUAAAACAUAUUUCAAAUAUCGCUAAAGACCAAAUCGAUUUGACUUUUUAAAACAUAAACUUAUGUAUACACGUUAUUGUUCUUAGUUAUGCUUUCUAUGAGACUACUUAUUAUAAUCUUUGAAAUCUAUACCUACUAUUACAUAUGUCUGAAGACAGCAAAUGGUAUAGAUGUUGAUGUCAAAUGUCUGAUCUUGUUAAAACAAAUGUAAGUAUGUUUUUGGAAGUAGUAAAUAAAACCAUAUAAGAAUGUUUUGUGCUAAGAGAAAUAACUCUAUCUGUCCAAAAAGAGGUUCAUAUCAAUUGAGAGUUCUGUUUAAUUAUCAUAUGAAUGAUGUUUAUCAACGCCUUCUCCUUUUACCAAAAGAUAACAUUAGAUCAUUUACCCAUUUUGUACAGAUGACUCUCGUAGGUCAUUCAUAAGUAACAUAAACUAAAGGGCAAAUCUUAAAAUGAAUCAACAUAGACUUAAGUCGUCAAAUCUAUAGAUGCCUUAUUAAACCUUUGUGUGGUUAGAUUUGGCACUGCUUCUAAAAGUAGUUUACACCUUCUACAGUUUUACCUCCCACAAGGAACAUUUUCACGACAAAAAAAUUGUGUAUUGGGCAAACAUAAACCAAUCCUAUACGAAUGAUCAGGGAAGUCUUCCUGGACAGUUACUUUUGGUUUGAUCCAAAUAUUUCUGGGCGUCACUUUGUUCCUUUUUGGUUUAUUUUAUAUAAUGUAUUAUUUAUUUAUAACUAAAUGCAAUAAUGUUGUUAUUUUGGGAUGGAUUUUUGUUAACAGUGUAACGACGUAAAAUACAUUGAUCGGCCAUAGUAUCAAACUAGACGCCAUUUCCUUUACUGAAAUAGCGACAGUGUCAAAAUAUUCGAGUAUCGUGUGAAGUUAAUAUUCCUUUGGUAAUUUUAUGUAAAUGCACACAUUGUAUAUUUGGCCAUUUGGUUUGGUGUAUAAAACAGUAAUUGUUCUUCUAAAAAUAGUGUAACAUUAUCUUGACUAUAAUGCAUCAAUGGCUUAAUAAGCGUUACUGAUAUGUUCAACACAAUGUGGUCUCCCUUUUCACCCCUUAUAUACUUUAUAUCGUGUAACUGCUCGUCUUUUCAAUAUUUUCGUCUUCGAUACAAAAUAGAAUGUUUCAGAUUCUUUUUAUAUCGUUAUUAACCUUUUCGUUUCUGUUAAUGCUGUUUAUGUAUGAACACUUUGAUAACUUUGUUAGGUUUUUUUUGCCAUUUUUUGCAUUUCUACUUUGGAUUUUCUUUUUUUAUACCUUAGUCUUUCUUUAAACAUUUAACCUCAAAGUCGGUUUGGAUACUGAUAAAACAGUCAAUGUGCGGAAAAUCAUUUUAAUGUAUCGUUUCAUGUUCUAUUCCAAAAUGAAGGCAUAUAUCUUUACAUAAAUAAUACCACUGCCGAAAUUCCUGCUCUAUGAGAACUGUAUUCUUUCUGUAUUAAUCUCUUCGCUUGUCCCUUUUUAGCUCACCUGGCCCGAAAGGCCAAGUGAGCUUUUCCCAUCACUUGGCGUCCGGCGUCCGUCGUCCGUCGUCGUCCGUCGUCCGGCGUUAACUUUUACAAAAAUCUUCUCCUCUGAAACUACUGGGCCAAAUUUAAACCAAACUUGGCCACAAUCAUCAUUGGGGUAUCUAGUUUAAAAAAAUGUGUCCGGUGACCCGGCCAACCAACCAAGAUGGCCGCCAUGGCUAAAAAUAGAACAUAGGGGUAAAAUGCAGUUUUUGGCUUAUAACUCAAAAACCAAAGCAUUUAGAGCAAAUCUGACAUGGGUAAAAUUGUUUAUCAGGUCAAGAUCUAUCUGCCCUGAAAUUUUCAGAUGAAUCGGACAACCCGUUGUUGGGUUGCUGCCCCUAAAAUGGUAAUUUUAAGGAAAUUUUACUGUUUUUGGUUAUUAUCUUGAAUAUUAUUAUAGAUAGAGAUAAACUGUAAACAGCAAUAAUGUUCAACAAAGUAAGAUUUACAAAUAAGUCAACAUGACCGAAAUGGUCAAUUGACCCCUAUAGGAGUUAUUGCCCUUUAUAGUCAAUUUUUAAGCAUUUUUCGUAAAUCUUAGUAAUCUUUUACAAAAAUCUUCUCCUCUGAAACUACUGGGCCAAAUUAAUCCAAACUUGGCCACAAUCAUCUUUGGGGUAUGUAGUUUAAAAAAUGUGUCCGGUGACCUGGCCAUCAAAUCAAGAUGGCCGCCACGGCUAAAAAUAGAACAUAGGGGUAAAAUGCAGUUUUUGGCUUAUAACUCAAAAACCAAAGCAUUUUGAGCAAAUCUGGCAGGGUGUAAAAUUGUUUAUCAGGUCAAGAUGUAUCUGCCCUGAAAUUUUUAGAUGAAUCAGACAACCCGUUUUUGGGUUGCUGCCCCAGAAUUGGUAAUUUUAGUGAAUUUUUGCUGUUUUUGGUUAUUAUCUUGAAUAUUAUUAUAGAUAGAGAUAAACUGUAAACAGCAAUAAUGGUCAGCAAAGUAAGAUCUACAAAUAAGUCAACAUGACCAAAAUGGUCAAUUGACCCCUUGAGGAGUUAUUGCCCUUUAUAGUCAUUUUUUACAAAUUUUUCGUAAAUUUUUGUAAUCUUUUACAAAAAUCUUCUCCUCUGAAACUGCUGGGCCAAAUUAAUCCAAACUUGGCCACAAUCAUCAUUGGGGUAUCUAGUUUAAAAAAUGUGUCCGGUGACCCGGCCAUCCAACCAAGAUGGCUGCCAUGGCUAAAAAUAGAACAUAGGGGUAAAAUGCAGUUUUUGGCUUAUAACUCAAAAACCAAAGCAUUUAGAGCAAAUCUGACAUGGGUAAAAUUGUUUAUCAGGUCAAAAUCUAUCUGCCCUGAAAUUUUCAGAUGAAUUGGACAACCCGUUGUUGGGUUGCUGUCCCUAAAUUGGUAAUUUUAAGGAAAUUUUACUGUUUUUGGGUUAUUAUCUUGAAUAUUAUUAUAGAUAGAGAUAAACUUUAAGCAGCAAUAAUGUACAGCAAAGUAAGAUUUACAAAUAAGUCAAUAUGACUGAAAUGGUCAAUUGACCCCCUAAGGAGUUAUUGUCCUUUAUAGUCAAUUUUUAACAAUUUUUAUAAAAUUUGUAAAUUUUUACUAACAUUUUCCACUGAAACUACUGGGCCAAGUUCAUUAUAGAUAGAGAUAACUGUAAGCAGCAAGAAUGUUCAGUAAAGUAAAACGUUCAAACACAUCACCAUCACCAAAACACAAUUUUGUCAUGAAUCCAUCUGCUUCCUUUGUUUAAUAUUCACAUAGACCAAGGUGAGCGACACAGGCUCUUUAGAGCCUCUAGUUCGUAAAUCUUAGUAAUCUUUUACAAAAAUCUUCUCCUCUGAAACUACUGGGCCAAAUUAAUCCAAACUUGGCCACAAUCAUCAUUGGGGUAUCUAGUUUAAAAAAUGUGUCCGGUGACCCGGUCAACCAACCAAGAUAGCUGCCAUGGCUAAAAAUAGAACAUAGGGGUAAAAUGCAGUUUUUGGCUUAUAACUCAAUAACCAAAGCAUUUAGAGCAAAUCUCACAUGGGUAAAAUUGUUCAUCAGGUCAAGAUGUAUUUGCCCUUAAAUUUUCAGAUAUAUCGGACAACCCGUUGUUGGGUUGCUGCCCCUGAAUUGGUAAUUUUAUGGAAAUUUUACUGUUUUGGGUUAUUAUCUUGAAUAUUAUUAUAGUUAGAGAUAAACUGUAAACAGCAAUAAUGUUUAGCAAAGUAAGAUUUACAAAUAAGUCAACAUGACCAAAAUGAUCAGUUGACCCCUUUAUGAGUAAUGCCCUUUAUAGUCAAUUUUUAACCAUUUUUCGUAAAUCUUAGUAAUCUUUUACAAAAAAUCUUCUCCUCUGAAACUACUGGGUUAAAUAAUCCAAACUUGGCCACAAUCAUUUUUGGGAUAUUUAGUUUAAAAAAAUGUGUCCGGUGACCCGGCCAUCCAACCAAGAUGGCCGCCACGGCUAAAAAUAGAACAUAGGGGUAAAAUGCAGUUUUUGGCUUAUAACUCAAAAACCAAAGCAUUUAGAGCAAAUCUGACUGGGGUAAAAUUGUUUAUCAGGUCAAGAUCUAUCUGCCCUUAAAUUUUCAGAUGAAUCGGACAACCCGUUGUUUAGUUGCUGCCCCUAAAUUGGUAAGUUUAAGGAAAUUUUGCUGUUUUUGGUUAUUAUCUUGAAUACUAUUAUAGAUAGAGAUAACCUGUAAACAGCAAUAAUGUUCAGAAAAGUGAGAUUUACAAAUAAGUCAACAUGACUGAAAUGGUCAAUUGACCCCCUAAGGAGUUAUUGUCCUUUAUAGUCAAUUUUUAACAAUUUUCAUAAAAUUUGUAAAUGUUUACUAACAUUUUCCACUGAAACUACUGGGCCAAGUUCAUUAUAGAUAGAGAUAAUUGUAAGCAGCAAGAAUGUUCAGUAAAGUAAGAUGUACAAACACAUCACCAUCACCAAAACACAAUUUUGUCAUGAAUCUAUCUGCUUCUUUUGUUUAAUAUUCAUAUAUACCAAGGUGAGCGAGACAGGCUCUUUAGAGCCUCUAGUUAACCAGGAUGGUUAAAAUGAAUUAAAGAUGUAAUUAGACACAUAGAUAAGACGGAGCUUUAAAGCAGGGUUAGUGUUGCUGAAGGUUUAGUAGUCUGUGUUUUGUUGACUGUAGUACUACGUUUCGUCUUUCUCUUUCAUUUUUGGACACGUUGUGUGUGUUUCUGCAUUUUCAUAAAUUGUAAUUGCGACUUGGUAUCACCCUGUUCUUCAUAUUAUCUUUCAGAGGGAUGGUCACUAUAGUCAUCUGGAUAAUAUCAUUAUUUAUAUCUGUUUAAAUGUGCCAGGUUUGAUGCGACCAGUAGUACGUUUCAUUCAGUUGAGAGACGAGCAAUUUUUUUAUAUAUAUUCUUUAUUUUGAGAAUUAUACUUGUAAAUCAGUAAAGAUGAAUUCAAACAUCAAAAAAUUUAAAAAUAAUGAAAUAAUCAUAUUUCUUUGAUGAAACAAAUGACAAAUGACUUAUUACACUGCCACAUUCCUAACUUGGUACAGGUCUUUUACAAUGUUUCACAAGUUGAAUAUCUAGUAACUUAUGAUAAUUCAAUAUCUUUGGUAAGGAAGCACGUAAUAAAAUCAACUUUCAAACCAAACUACAUUGUUUACUAUCAAAGGUUAGUAUCUUGCUACACUAUUUCGUGACUUCAUCCCGAGCAUUGAACCUAUAACAAACUAACAGCAGUUGCAGUGAAAACAGAUACAAAUUGAAAGUAUGUUUAUGACACGACUUGAACAUAAAUGUUCUCUGAAUAAGAUGACCGGUCAUUCUUCGAUAUGGGCAAUUUAACCUAUAGAAAUAUUUACCAAAGGUUAUGGAAGGUCACUUUACAAUUAUCAAAUAUCUGUUUAUUUGAUUUUUUUUCUGAAUGCUUCAAAUUAACAAAAGCCAUACUUGAUUUUCUGGAAUACAAUAUGGAAGUCAAUGAUCUUGUAUGGAAUGUCGGUCAGUGACCGAUUUUAUCACUUUAAAAUAUUGAAUUAUCUAAUUGUUAAUUUUUGACUAAAUGGUUUGGUGCAGUAGCAAAGUCCUUUGGUUAAGAUUACAAUUAGUAAUAUCUACUUAUCAUUGUUUAUGUGUAAUAUCUAUUUGUAUCAACCACAAGUUGGUGUAAUAGUAAGAUUAACGUGUCUUCUGGUGCAAGCGGGUGCAAGUGUCUAAAAUUGGAUAUGGAAAUUCUUAAAUAUCUAUUCUUUGUUUCUAUUUUACGUAUGUAUUACAUAUUGGUGCAAAGUACAGCCUACCUUACACUCAUAUAUUCAUUUCCUAAAUCAAGAUAACAUUUUCAGGUUAAUUAGUUUUCAACAAUUACCAUGUAAUGGUGCACAAUACGCCGGACAAUGACUUACGGGUCGCCUAGUGCUGCAUGUACGCAUGUCUAUUUAUCACUAGACCAUAUCCGGAAAUUCAUUUCAUUCAGACGACUCAAAGCACGUGAGAAGGACUAGAAAACGUGAUAGAACGCGGUAAGUUCAAAGAUUGUUUGAAAAACUUUUUUUCAUAAAGAUAUUUUCUAAUUUUAAAGUAGAAUGUAGACAUUUUCUCCAUCUAAUUGCAUAAAGUUUAGCGUAUAGAAGAAUGACUUGCAAAAUGAUUCCGUACAUAAUUCAUUUGUUCUGGAUUUGUUAACGUAGACAAUUUUCCAGUCUGGUGGCCAAUUAGCGUGGGUAAUUAGACAACAAAAGCCUGAACCAACCUGACAGAAAUACAUCGAUGAAGGAAGCGUUAAAUAAAGUAUUAAAUUAUCCUUGUGUGUUUAAUUUUGUUAUAAAUGUUCUUGUCUUUUAUUUUGGUGACCUAUUCUUUUAAAUUUUAACAAUGUAUACUAAAAAGCAGGACGUAUCGUAGGAGCAUUUCAAAUUUGUAUAAAUUUUGAAAUACUGUCAUUUUUUCUUACAUUUGAAUAUAAAUUCUAUAUGUUCCUUUCUAAAACAAACAAAUAUUUCGUCAUUCAUCGUUCUACCUUUUGAUCAUCAAUUUUGUUACAUGAAAGUUCUUGGUACAUUCGUCUCUGUGGUGGUAUUUUGAAAUACAAUUCAUGCAGAAAGUACAUGUACCUAGUCAAGGCGGAUGUACAUAGUGUUUUUGUUAAUGAAAUAUUUGACUUUUAAUGAAGAACUUUGAACCGGACACAAGGAACAAUCAAUUCAUAAAGUAUUUUGGGGAUAUUUUUGACAGGUGAACAACGAUUCAUUUAACAAGACUUUCCGUGUGAAGCUAAAUAUAUCAAUGAUGAAAUUGUUCAUGUGACUUGGGAUCUAUUAGCAGCUCUUUCUUGAACUCAUAGUAUAUAUUCUCUUAAAUUAUCAUAUUAAUGAUGGGUCAUGUAUGGGAAGGCAACAAAAAAGUAAUUGGAAAAUAAUGUGAAUCCUUUAAAAAAUUAUACUUAGCUUAAAUCAUACAUCGACUUUCUUGGUACGUAAGUAAAAUAUACAUGAUAUAGGACCGUUUUUACACUUUAAGAAGCUGGAUAAAUAAACAGAGAGAUCACAGUGAAUGUAUGAAUACGUUGAUGUGGGCUUUUUCAAAUUUAAUCGGCAUCUUGAGAAUUUUAUCUUACAUCUUUUGUCCCAAAGAAAUUGACAGCAUGUUGGAUUUUAUAAUGUGAUCUGAUCUUUUUCUAUUUCAUUAAUGCUUUUCUUAAAAUCUUUUAUAAUUAUUUAAUUGGAGAUUUUUACCUUUCAUCUUUUCUUUUCAUGAUUCUUGACACUGACAUGUACACAUAUAUUGCUUGCUACAUUGACCCCAUCAAAUCGCAAGUUAAUUAUAGAUUUGCAUACACCACCUGCACGUACUGGUCAAGUCAGGACGUUGUCCUUAACCUUGUCUGGCUUUAACAAUAACUCCGUCCGAUAGGUUCAUUGCUCGAUGUAUUGUGUGUACACAUCAUCAUAGCUAUCUUUCUGAUAACUAGAGACUGGAAGAGUACCGAGACAACGGUGUCAUAGGAAAAAAAACUCAAGACAUGAUAGACAAAUACCAAAAUGUAUAUUAAAAUUAUAAAGGCAAGUACGAAACUAACGCCAAAAAAUAAAUACUGAAAAGGACAACAGGUUGGUGAGAGUGGCAGUUACAGGUAUGACUAAUUAUCCAUGUAAUUAUUUCAAUCAUAUGCAGGUGGUAGUAAAAGUAAUUUUAUAUGUCAAAUUUUAAUAAAAGAUGAGUAAACUGUUGUUUGUUUGAUAUAUUUCCCAUAAAAUCAAACCGUUAUUUAGCGCUAAAUACUGAAGAUGUAAACAUUUAUUUAAUGCAAUAUUGGCCAUUUUACAUAUUAUUGUAAAAUUUUGAAUCGAAGGACAUCACUACUUAAAAAGAUUUUUAAAAAAAAUCAUCGAUGAACUGAAAGAAGUGUUUUGGCUAACAAAGUCUUUCUAGUUCAAUUUUGGAUGAAUGUACUAUAAACUAUGCAGUUUUGAAUCAUCUUAAGGUAUCCCAAUUUGGUUACUUGUUCAGAAAUACAACAAAAUAAAAUUGAGAGGGAAUUCAAUGUUCAUGAUGCUGAACAAAGUAAAUGCACACAAAGAAACCGUUGAUAUUUUUAAUUUAAGUAAAGAUUGAAAGACCUUAAUAAACACAAAGGUUCCUGGUUCGAUCCCCGCUCCAAGGAGAAAAUUUCAGGGACUGAAUUUUCGGCUCUCCCUCGACACCAUUUGUGAGUAUGGUCUUGAGGAAACGAUGAUAGUCCGUCGGAAGGGGACGAUAAAAGGCUGACCCGUGUUAAGAGAGAGCCAUAUCUCUUGCACGUUAAAGACACCCUUGUAGAUUUCGAAAAAGAGCAGGCUAAUGCCGCUACAAGACUGUUCGCACCCGCAAAGUGGAAAGGGAUUAAUAUAAGUUGCAAUAACUUGUUUCACAAUCCACUAUAAAUAAAUAUGUUUAAACUAAAGACUUUUGCAAAUGGCCCUAGUGUUUACUACGGUUGUUCAGUAUAGUAAGACGGAAUGCAAUGGGCGUCAAAGUUAAAAUUUGUUUUUCUUGAGUCAAAACGAAAUAAAAUUUGCGAAUUAUGUUACCACGUGGUUAGCAGAUCAUAUAUUGAAGAUAAUUGUUAUACCACAUAUGAACAUGGUAAAAAAAAGGCAAUAGUUAAUAAAAGAUAUUGAUUUUUUGUGCUCUUCAAAAGAACAUUUUAUUGAGGUUUUAUACUCACAAAUUAUCCUUAUAAAUUGCAAUUCAAUCAUGACAUAUUGUGUCCCAUGGUAGCUUAUUGCAAAUUCCUUCCUUUGAACUUUAAUGUGUAUUUUUAUAGCCAAAUCAAGGCUUUGGAUAAAAGCUAGCACGCAUUGGUCAUUUCAACUUAUGAGAUGGGCUUUGACCAUCAAUCGCCGAGGCCGGACGAUGUCAUCCAACCAGUAGCCACUCAAGGAAAUUUUUCCGUUUUGUUUCUAACUUUUUCAGUUUAAGGCUACCAACAUUUGGUCUAGACUACCUGAUUAGGAUUAUUCUAUUAACACGUGUUGUCUGCAUAGAAAAAACUAAUCGGACAUUUUUAUUUUAAUAAACAUUGUCAAAUAGAUGCGGAAAUAAAAUAUUUUAUCUUUGUGGUUGGGACGAAUAAAUUUGAUAUGUUUUUCUUUAUUCUUGUAAAUAUUUGAACUUGAAUUAUUUGAGAAAACAUUACAAACUACAGAAAUGUCCGGCCGAAUUAAUAUAUAUAUAUUGUUCAAGUCAAGUUCGGUCAGCUAAUUUGCGUCAAUAAAUUGAAAAACUACUAACGCAAAGGAAAUGCUCUUAUCUUUCAUCGUCAUUACCACAGGAAAAUACGCAAACAGUUCUGUAUCCUUUGUUGUCUACAAUAUAAAUAAUAUAACGCAAAUUUUCAAAAAAGCGCAUGUUUUUACGAAAUGUUGCCCGGAUGCUAGAGAUAAAGGAAAGAACAAUCGAAAGUGCUUCACACAAGUGUUGUUUAUGUCUUGUUUUGAGGGUCUGGUGUGGUAUAGAGACUAUAUGAUAAAUAGGCCAAAAUUAUGGAAAAGGAAAUAACAAAUUAACGUAUAAACAGAAAAAUAGGUCAUAAAAUAGAGAAUGAAGAAUAAUUGGGUUCUGAAAUAUAAUGAAUAGAGACAAAUGGAAAAAGUAAAAAGAAAACAGAAUUGAAUGUCUCCACCCUCCUUUCAACAAGUCCUUCUUAUAGGUGGUAUAUGUUGUAUGUUAUACUUCCUGUAUUUAUUCUAUCGGUUUAUCAUGUUUGUUACUAUAAUUUACAUAAAAUCCUAAAAGUCAUGACUAACUGAAUUGCAUCGAUUUUCAACGGUCGUCAGGCAAAUAAAUGUAAAAAAUAAUAUUAAAGUUGUUUUUACGGCUAAGUGGUCAACGAUUGUUCAAAAUAAUUCUGAAAUGGGAGCGACAUAUACGUCUAACCGCACCCAACAGUUAAGUUUUACAAAAUAAAUUUCACUUUCAAAGCAAGUUUGAGUAUAUAGAUUACUGCAUGAAUAUCAGAAUUGAGUGUUACUGUGCCGUAAAUUUAUGCAUGACUAUGAGUAUUGAGUGUAACAGUACCAUAUGUACAAAUUCAAUCUGUGUUGGUUCUAGCUUGAUCUAGUACAGAUAUGCUUUGAUUGUUUUUAUGGUUAAUUUUAUUUGUAUGUUUAGGCUAGGUCUUUAUGGAUCCAAUACAUGAUUGUUUGUGCAAGUAUGUUCCUCCCUAUUAAUGCGCGUACAAAAUUAUAUGCAGACAUGGCACUUUCCCAUGUAUCCGAAAACAAUGUUACCGUGAACUUUUAUGGCAGAUGGGUGAUCUUUGCAGGUGUAUACCAGAAUAGUCCGCUUGUUUUUAUGUAUGUCGUCUGUGAAUUGACACUUGUUGACAAAAUAAAAGUUCAAAAAUGGUUUAAUGUUUUUGCAAUGUAUCAGGUCCGAAAUGGUAAAUACAACCCUAAAGGGUUGAAAUAACGUUGCCAUCUGUACUAUCGGUGACAUGUUCGACAUCAGCGCUUGGUGAUACAAGGUGCUGUGUUUGAGAUACGUCUUGCUGUUGGUCGGAGUUGAUUUCUAUAUGGUCAUAAAAAGCAGGUAAUUAUAUUGCUAAGACAACAAAGCAACACAUGAUGUGUACACUCUAUUAGUAAUGUGUUAGUUUUGCUUUCUAUUGUACGCAUGAAUUAAUGAAAGUGUUCCUUAAAAAGAGUAUAAAGACUACAUUUUAAUAUAAAAUAUAAUUGUGUCCGUGAAAUGUUUGAUGUUAUAACUACAUGGAUUUAGCUCAACAAUCCAUACUUGUAAGUCAUCGAGAUAAUGUUUUACUUGUGCAGUUAAUAAAAAAAACAUUUAAAUCUUCUACCCAAUGGAAGUUUCGCUAAACAAUUUUGAUUCAUAUCAGCAUGCAUAGAAAAUUAAAGACGAAUAUAUAACAUGAUACUCGCGUAUAAAAAUCAUAAUUCGACGGGGGAGAAGAGACAUAUUUUCAUGACUAAUAGAAACCACAUGAAAGACAACCAGUUUUAAACAAUAUCUCCAUCAAAAACAGUGCUGGUCUCGGGUACUCUUGAACGGCAUAGAGUUCCUUACUUACUUAACUGUUUUGUAUAACAUAUGGUAUAAAACUUCAGUACUUCUUUAAUAAUGAACAAUUGUAUGUAUAUUUCUUACUUUAUUGUCCUUUAUAAAGUAAUAUGAUGUAUUAUAUAGUAAAUACCAUUAAUAUGGACUAGUUUGCUUUACAUUUGCACGUAAAUAACCUUCAUAGAAACUCGAUAAUGGUGUACCCUUGUUUCCUAUGGUCCCGCAUGUUUUUUAUGGACGUGCAUUCCAACUUAUAUAAAAGAUGCACACCUUAUUUCAUUAAGAAUAAUGGGACAUUGCAUGUCUCUGUACUUGUCAUCAAGUUAAUCACAAUCGAUUCAUUUUAAAAAUGUUGAACUUUCCUAGGUACAAAUAGAUUUCAAUAUUAUAUUUACCCAAUCCUAACAUGUGUUCAAACGUUUCCCUGCUGGAUGUUCCCUCACUCCUAGAAAAUUUACAUUUUGAUAGUUAACCGCAUUUAUAUUAUUAAAACAUUAUGUUUAAAUAUGUUCCAUUGGUUUUGAGUCCAAUCUUUGUGAUUCAAUCCAUACGUUUUUGAGUCAUUAGGUGCACGAUACCCGUCUCCAAGUGCAAUGCGGUGCAUUUUGACUCAUUUUAAUCAUUAAUUAGCUUUCAUCUUCGCCUUAAUUGUAGAUUUAUUGUCAUUGUUCGUCUCAACUUUAAAUCGCUCUGCACUCUUACCUCAGGGAAGCUUAAAACUUGAAAGUAAAUAUUACCUUUUAACGAAGUAUAGGUGUAUCAAAAUCUUAUUAAUUAGUUGUUGAUCAUACUUAACAUAUUUUCUCCUUUCAAAGUUAAUCUUUUCACCUGUAAUGGACAAAGGUUUGACUUCAGGCACUCCCACGCAAAUGCUCCUUUUUUUUUUUUUGAACACUACGAAAUAUGCAUGUUACAUUUUUUAUAUUAACAAUACAC
RNAcentral lists this long non-coding RNA (17511 nucleotides) under Mytilus galloprovincialis (Mediterranean mussel). The record is from RNAcentral. Lineage: Eukaryota; Metazoa; Mollusca; Bivalvia; Mytilida; Mytilidae.